Molecule: RNA transcript, 3821 nt
Organism: Mytilus trossulus (common blue mussel)
Lineage: Eukaryota; Metazoa; Mollusca; Bivalvia; Mytilida; Mytilidae
Gene name: dual specificity protein kinase TTK-like
Exons: 19
Source: RefSeq, a predicted model, not a curated record
UCAAUGAGCUUUUUACAAAAUUCUUUGUCAAAUCAAAACAACCAAGAAGCACUUUAAAAAAUGUCAGGGAAAUAUAAAUGGAUGUGAAAACCUUGAGUAUAUUAAUCAACAGAAAUAAGUUAAAUUGUAAAAGAAGAUCUGGAACCAUGACAUCCAUGAGCUCUCUAAAGAGUAAGCUACACAAACUAAAGAAGGAGGAUACCAGUGAGGUGACAGAUUAUAAAACAUGGAUGAAAAAGAUAGAUGACUGUGGGAACCGUGCUGAAGAUUGGUUAGAAUAUACAACUUACAUGAGACAAAAUCUGAACUUCAAUGAUAGGUUCCAGGCACACAACUUCCUCUCAGAUUUGUACGAGAAAGCUUUCAGGGCUAUUGAUGGAAAAGAAAACAAAGACAAUGAAGCAUUUGCUCAUCUAUUUAUAGACUUUGCUGAGGUCAAAAGUGAACAGUUACUAUUGGAAGAUGCCAUUCAGCUGCUAACAGAAGCCAGAAACAUCGUCAAAAGAUAUGCCAUAGUUCAUAUUGCUGCAGCAGAGCUAGAGGUCAAAGAGGGAAACAUUAGUAAAGCCAGAAAUAUUCUGAACAAAGCUAGAUUGUUUAAAUUUGAACCUACAGAACUUUUGGUUGAGGCUCUAAAGAAACUAGAUGCUGGAGAAACUGUUUUACUCUCACCAAGGCAUAGAAGAUACAGUUCUAGCCAAAGUAAAGUCAACCUGUCUGAUGAUAGUCAAAACAUCUUCCAUGGUGGUGCUCCUGAAGGAAAUUUACAAGAACAUAUUGGACCAGAUGAAAUGGAGACUGCACCAGUUAUGAUGGAAUCUCAUAAAGAGAAAUAUGUAACAGUUCGGGCCAAUUCCUGUAGACCUGCCAUGAGAAGCUAUAGUAGUACACCAGAAAUGAGAAAUCUCCAGUGGAAAAGGAAAGACAUAGGUGUACCACAGAGAGUACGGAAACUUAAUUUACCCUUCACAACAACAGCUGAGGAAGAAGAGGAUGAAGAGGGGGUAGAAGAUAUGGAUACUAUGGCUGGUUUUACUCCACUAGAACCUCAGGCUAGUUCAACCUUUGUUUCAAUGACCACUGCACAAAGUAGUGGUUACCAGUCCAUGAUGGAGACAACCAUUCCACUGGAAACAGGCAACCAGUUUGAAAAUAAACUUUUUCAUUCUGGAAAACAAGAAUUUGACUUGUCAGGAAUUCAUCCUCAAAAACAAGCAUUUGACUUGUCAGGAAUUUAUCCUCAGAAACAAGCGUUUGACUUGUCAGGAAUUCAUCCUCAAAAACAAGCAUUUGACUUGUCAGGAAUUUAUCCUCAGAAACAAGCAUUUGACUUGUCAGAAAUUCAUCCUCAAAAACAGAUUUUAGACAUGUCUGGAAUUCAUCCCCAACGGCAACAAUGUGACUUGUCAGGAAUUCUUUCUCAACGACAGAUUUGUGACUUGUCAGGAAAGCAAUCCAAGAACCACACAAAUAAUCUGUUAGGAAAACAGAAAGACACCCCAUCAUGUGAUAUAUCUGGAAUUGAGUCAAUGAAAGAUAGACAAACUUGUGACUUGUCAGAUAAAAAGUCUAAUGGUAUAGGUAUUCAGUCAGUCAAACAAAACGAUCGUCUGACCUGUAAUCUAUACAACAUCCAAUCAGAUGUAGUUAUGGAAGAAUCAAUAAAAGAUGUAUCAUGCUUUCAGUCUGACAAAUCAUUGAAGGAACCCACAAAGUCUGACAAUGUUUCAUUGUUACAACCAAAUGGACGACCACAGAUUAUGAAAAGUCAAGUGUUACCUAACACUAAAUCUAAUUUGGUGUCAUCUAACCAAGUUUGUGCCAAUCCAACACCCAGCAGGGGUGCCUCUAGAGUUGUUACACCAAACCAAAUGUCAGACUUUCCUACACUCAGCAGAGGUGGUCCUAUAGUGGUUUCACCAGACCAAGAAUCAGGCAAUCCUACAACCAGUGGAGGUGCUCCUAGAGUGGUCACUCCAAACCAAGUGUCCUCUAAUCCUACACCCAACAGGGGUGCUCUUAAAGUGGUUACACCAAUCCAGGUGUCAGCCAAAGUCAAUCCUAACAGAAGAGUUCCUGAAUUACCUACACCUACAUGUAAUAGAUCUAUUGAACCUACACCUAGUAAACAUGUUAUGUCUGAUAGGCUGUCUAAUGUACCAGUUUGUGCCACACCAAGUGCUGUGCAGCAGACAUCAAUACCCUGUACACCAAGUGUUAUGCAGGAUGUAGAAACUUUCACAGUAAACAACGUAGUCUACAUGAUACUGGAUUUACUUGGGAAAGGUGGCUCUAGUAAGGUGUACCAUGUACAUGAUUCCAAGCCUCCAUCUAAAGCACUCAAAGUAGUCAACCUAAAUGAUGCCAAUGAAGAAAUAGUCAAUGGUUACAAAAAUGAAGUCAAAUUACUGCUACAGUUACAGUAUUGUCCAAAAGUAAUCAAACUCUAUGAUUAUGAAUACAGACCAGAGGAAAACAAGUUAUAUAUAGUAAUGGAGUAUGGCAACUGUGACUUUGCUCAGUUUCUGAAAGAUAAAAUAAAAGAAGAUUGUAAGCUGUCAGACCAUUUGAUCAAGUAUUACUGGGAGUCUAUGUUAAUGGCUGUCCACGCUUUACAUAAAGAAGGAAUCAUUCAUUCAGACUUAAAGCCAUCAAACUUCAUCAUAAUAGGAGGUGCCUUAAAACUGAUAGACUUUGGUAUAGCUAAAUCAGUGCAACCAGAUAAAACAAGUGUUCUGACUGAAAUGCAGGUUGGCACAUUAAACUACAUGAGUCCAGAGUCUAUAGCAGAUUAUGGUUUAGAUGAGAAACCAAUGUAUAAGAUUGGUGUGAAGAGUGACGUCUGGUCCCUUGGAUGUAUUUUAUACAAUAUGGUGUAUGGUUUUACUCCAUUCCAAAGAAUCAACAGACAGUUUGCCAAACUUCAGGCUAUCACUAACUCCAGUUAUGUCAUUCAUUUCCCAGAAAUUGAGGACAAACGUCUGCUGGAUGUCAUGAAGAAAUGUUUGAUCAGAGAUCCUAAAGUUCGACCAAGCAUUGAAGAUUUACUUCACCAUCCAUAUCUGAAGAGAGAGAAAAAAGAAGAACCAUCAGUAGUGGACAAAAGAAGUAAUUGUUUUGAUCAAUAUUUUGAGCUUGCAUUUUGUUUUACUUUCAGAACCAUCAGUAGUAGACAAAAGAAUAGAGAGACUUGUAGAGAGAUUAGCAGAUAAAGUAUCUUCCCCUAAUACUCUACGCAGUCUACUAAGAAGGGAAAUAUUAAAGGGAAUGUCAGCUGAAAGAGAAUGUCCAGAAAACAAAGAAAAUGUUCAUUAACUGAAUAUUAGCAGUGUCAGUGGAGGAAGACAUGCUAUUGACAUCAUGGAGGUGUCAAUGCUUUUAAUGAGAAAAUAAGACUAGGUCUACCACCUGUGGCUGAAAUAGAUAAUGAGGAGGAAGUGCAUUUUAAUCAAAAUCAGUUUGAAGAAAAAUGGGUUUUUACAUUCUUUCUUGCUUUAAAAGCUUUGUUGAAUUUUUAUAUAACUUAUGUAAUAUAUGUUAAUCCUAUUAUUUUACAUUUAUAGAUUAUUUAAGAUUACAAGAUGAAGAGAAAUUUGUUAUUUUUUUUAAUCCAGGUUCAAAAGAUAAGACUAUAUUUGUUAUUUCUUUAAAUUAAUGGAUGGAUCAAUAGUCUAUGUGCUUCUGUCAUACAAGUGAGAGGUUAGGCUAGCUUAAGGGCAUACGAUACAGUUACAGGGGAGGUAAUGACGUUGCCAACGUAAAAUGUUAUUUUCGCGACGUCAAACUGUAACAUAUCAGAAACAGAUGCAUUUUUCGACUGA